This 696-nucleotide ribosomal RNA is filed under the name Streptomyces sp. SUK08. RNAcentral describes it as "bacterial SSU rRNA". It matches the Rfam family "Bacterial small subunit ribosomal RNA", at positions 33 to 746 of the family's 1533-position model. Lineage: Bacteria; Bacillati; Actinomycetota; Actinomycetes; Kitasatosporales; Streptomycetaceae. The record is from RNAcentral. RNAcentral also lists the same sequence under 1 other name.
ACGCUGGCGGCGUGCUUAACACAUGCAAGUCGAACGGUGAAGCCUUUCGGGGUGGAUCAGUGGCGAACGGGUGAGUAACACGUGGGCAAUCUGCCCUGCACUCUGGGACAAGCCCUGGAAACGGGGUCUAAUACCGGAUAUUACCUGGGGGCGCAUGCUUCCGGGUGGAAAGCUCCGGCGGUGCAGGAUGAGCCCGCGGCCUAUCAGCUUGUUGGUGGGGUGAUGGCCUACCAAGGCGACGACGGGUAGCCGGCCUGAGAGGGCGACCGGCCACACUGGGACUGAGACACGGCCCAGACUCCUACGGGAGGCAGCAGUGGGGAAUAUUGCACAAUGGGCGCAAGCCUGAUGCAGCGACGCCGCGUGAGGGAUGACGGCCUUCGGGUUGUAAACCUCUUUCAGCAGGGAAGAAGCGCAAGUGACGGUACCUGCAGAAGAAGCACCGGCUAACUACGUGCCAGCAGCCGCGGUAAUACGUAGGGUGCGAGCGUUGUCCGGAAUUAUUGGGCGUAAAGAGCUCGUAGGCGGCUUGUCGCGUCGGAUGUGAAAGCCCGGGGCUUAACUCCGGGUCUGCAUUCGAUACGGGCAGGCUAGAGUUCGGUAGGGGAGAUCGGAAUUCCUGGUGUAGCGGUGAAAUGCGCAGAUAUCAGGAGGAACACCGGUGGCGAAGGCGGAUCUCUGGGCCGAUACUGACGC